AGGAUGAACGCUGGCGGCGGUGCCUAACGACGAUGCAAGUCGAACGUCCUGUCUCGCAAGAGGCAGGGAGUGGCGGACGGGUGAGUACCACGUGGGUUAUCUACCGUGAGGUGAGGAAUACCGGCGAGAAAUCGCCGACAAGACCGCAUAGCCUCGGUGCAAGCCGAGGAAAGCUUUCUCGAGAGAGGGAGCGCCACACGAGGAGCCUGCGCCCGAUUAGCUAGCUGGUGGAGUAACGGUUCACCAGGGCGACGAUCGGUAGCUGGUCUGAGAGGACGAUCAGCCACACUGGGAUUGAGAACGGCCCAGACUCCUACGGGGGGCAGCAGUGAGGAAUUUUCGUCAAUGGGGGCAACCCUGAACGAGCAACGCCGCGUGCAGGAAGAAGGUUUUCGGAUCGUAAACUGCUUUUCUCGGGGAAGAGAACGGACGGUACCCGAGGAAUCAGCCCCGGCUAACUACGCGCCAGCAGCCGCGGUAA
RNAcentral lists this ribosomal RNA (481 nucleotides) under uncultured bacterium. RNAcentral's name for it is "SSU rRNA". It matches the Rfam family "Bacterial small subunit ribosomal RNA", at positions 26 to 523 of the family's 1533-position model. The record is from RNAcentral.